CCAGCAGCUGCGGUAAUUCCAGCUCUAAUAGCGUAUAUUAAAGUUGUUGCAGUUAAAAAGCUCGUAGUCGGAAUUCGGGUUCGGGCAGGCUUCUGACCUCUGGGAAGAUGGCAGGCUCGGAUCUUUCUGCCUUGUUUCUAUUUCGCACUUAACUGUUCGGAGUAGGGAUUAGGCCGUUUACCUUGAAAAAAUCAGAUCGUUCAAAGAAGGCUAAGCUCGAAUAUGUUAGCAUGGAAUAAUGGAAUAGGACUUGGGUUCUAUUUUGUUGGUCAAUGGAUCCUAAGUAAUGAUUAAUAGGGACAGUUGGGGCCGUUUAUAUUUCGUUGUCAGAGGUGAAAUUCUUGGAUUUACGAAAGAUAAACUUCUGCGAAAGCAUUCGGCAAGGAUGUUUUCAUCGAUCAAGAACGAAAGU
RNAcentral lists this ribosomal RNA (412 nucleotides) under uncultured eukaryote. Its description in RNAcentral is "SSU rRNA". It matches the Rfam family "Eukaryotic small subunit ribosomal RNA", at positions 567 to 990 of the family's 1831-position model. The record is from RNAcentral.